RNAcentral lists this ribosomal RNA (443 nucleotides) under Stygocapitella sp. 424_02. Its description in RNAcentral is "partial large subunit ribosomal RNA". It matches the Rfam family "Bacterial large subunit ribosomal RNA", at positions 1892 to 2613 of the family's 2925-position model. Lineage: Eukaryota; Metazoa; Annelida; Polychaeta; Parergodrilidae. The record is from RNAcentral.
AUAGCCUACUAUUUAACUUAGGUACAACCCUGCCCUCUGACUUUUAACAGCCGCGGUAUCCUAACCGUGCUAAGGUAGCAUAAUCACUUGCCUAUUAAUUAUAGGCUAGAAUGAACGGGAUCACUCACUUAAACUUAUUUUUAUUUAAAUUUAAAUUAAACUUUAAGUCAAAAUACUAAAUUUAAAAGAAAGACAAAAAGACCCUGAAAACUAUUAGAAAUAAUUAGUUGGGGCAACUAUAGACCACUCUAGCGUCUAUUUUUUUUUAAACUCUUAAAAUCUAAAGUAUCCAGUUACUUCAGGGAUAACAGACUAAUUUUAUUAUUUAGACCCAAUAAAUAAUAAAGAUUGGCACCUCGAUGUUGGCUUAUAUUUCCUUCAUAUAGCAACAUAUAUAGAAGGCAGCUUGUUCAUCUGUUAAAUAUUUACAUGAGCUGAGUUCA